AACGACACUUGGCACAGGGUUGAACGUAGCAGUGGGAAGUUCAUGAGGAGGUUCAGGUUGCCAGAAAACGUGAAGAUGGAACAGAUGAAAGCUUCCAUGGAAAAUGGGGUCCUUACUGUUACCGUUCCUAAAGAGGAAGUGAAGAAACCUGAUCACAAAUCCAUUGAGAUUUCUGGUUAAAACAACUUGAAAGGCGUCAAACGUUUUGAUGAACAUUGUUCUUUGCCUGCCUUCAUAUACAUAAAUAUUAAGACUCCAUGCUUGUGAAAUGACAUUAGUGUUGCUAAUGUGAAGGUAUCUUUGCUUUAAUGUAAAUUUCUUCUGCUUAUUGCCAGUUCUAAACAUGUAAUUUCCAAAGGAUACGUUUUCCAUUCCAUCUCGUAGGCCUUUCAAAGUUGGGUUUAGUCCUAUUAAUGUUAAUAACCAGUUCAAAUACAAACUCGAAGUAAAACUGUAAUUUAGAUAACUUAUAUAUUCAGAAGCUCUAACCUUAACGAGUAGGAGAAAAAGAAAUGACGGUCGGCUUAAACUUGUCCAAACAAGCACCAGCUCGCUUAACCUCACUGACUGUCGAUAAAUUCCUGAAAUCCAAGAAAAACCUCUCUAAACCCUCACCAAAGC
RNAcentral lists this long non-coding RNA (621 nucleotides) under Gossypium barbadense (sea-island cotton). RNAcentral describes it as "long non-coding RNA (GBAR_LNC007608)". Lineage: Eukaryota; Viridiplantae; Streptophyta; Magnoliopsida; Malvales; Malvaceae. The record is from RNAcentral.